Molecule: ribosomal RNA, 349 nt
Filed under: uncultured bacterium
Lineage: Bacteria
Description: bacterial SSU rRNA
Rfam family: Bacterial small subunit ribosomal RNA
Source: RNAcentral
AGAGUUUGAUCAUGGCUCAGGAUGAACGCUAGCUACAGGCUUAACACAUGCAAGUCGAGGGGAAACGACAUCGAAAGCUUGCUUUUGAUGGGCGUCGACCGGCGCACGGGUGAGUAACGCGUAUCCAACCUGCCCAUCACUUGGGGAUAACCUUGCGAAAGUAAGACUAAUACCCAAUGAUAUCUCUAGAAGGCAUCUGAAAGAGAUUAAAGAUUUAUCGGUGAUGGAUGGGGAUGCGUCUGAUUAGCUUGUUGGCGGGUAACGGCCACAAGCAACGAUCAGUAGGGUUCUGAGAGGAACGGUCCCCACAUUGGAACUGAGGACACGGUCCAAACUCCUACGGCAGGCA